AUUGAACGCUGGCGGCAGGCCUAACACAUGCAAGUCGAACGAGGGGCGGACGGGUGAGUAAUGUCUGGGAAACUGCCUGAUGGAGGGGGAUAACUACUGGAAACGGUAGCUAAUACCGCAUACCAUCAGAUGUGCCCAGAUGGGAUUAGCUAGUUGGGGGGGUAACGGCGCACCAAGGCGACGAUCCCUAGCUGGUCUGAGGGGAUGACCGGCCACACUGGAACUGGGACACGGUCCAGACUCCUACGGUGGGAGGCAGUGGGGAAUAUUGGAACAUGGGCGCAAACCUGAUGGAGACAUGCCGCGUGUAUGAAGAAGGCCUUCGGGUUGUAAAGUACUUUCAGCGGGGAGGCGUUACCCGCAGAAGAAGCACCGGCUAACUCCGUGCCAGCCGCCGCGGUAAUUC
RNAcentral lists this ribosomal RNA (406 nucleotides) under uncultured bacterium. RNAcentral describes it as "partial 16S ribosomal RNA". It matches the Rfam family "Bacterial small subunit ribosomal RNA", at positions 29 to 526 of the family's 1533-position model. The record is from RNAcentral.